This 1007-nucleotide long non-coding RNA is filed under the name Mytilus galloprovincialis (Mediterranean mussel). Lineage: Eukaryota; Metazoa; Mollusca; Bivalvia; Mytilida; Mytilidae. The record is from RNAcentral.
GGACUGAAUGGCCAUGAAAUAGACCAAUGCUAACUUUGUUCAAUCAAUGCUUAGUUGUAACGACAUAAGCGUUCACAAAUGAAUACUAGUAGUCGAACUAUUUUUUUUAACCCUUCCUCAAUUUGAUAUAAGUUCAAAUGGACGACUACUGAUCUUCAUAUUCACAACUCCAUCUCCAAAAGUAUUUUUUUAUUUAUAACAAUUACAUUCCAUGUAUUUAACAUUUGCUAUCUAUUUUAUUACAGACCAGACCCUGACAAAUAUGCAGCCACAUUUAGUAAACGUUGUACAACACGGAACUGCCCUUGCUGGCCAAGCUGGAGCACAGUUCGCUAAAAAUCUAGGAACACAAAUGUUAUCUGGUUUACAACAAACACCACAAGAAGCUUAAACAUUAUGAAAAGAAUUCAAUUUUUUUUUAAAACAUCAAUAAAAAAUAAACAUAAUAUAUUUGUAAAGUCUUGUUUAAGUUUGUUUUGGUCCCAUUUAUCAAUAUUUGUGGUAACAUAUUUAAGGAGCUUUUUUGUCUGCAUAUUUUGCUUAAAUCCAAUUUCAGAAACUCGAAAUUUGCAAAUAAUACAUUAUUAUAACUAAUAGAAAUAUGUCUAAUUGAAAGAAGAUCCGAGACAUACAUGCAAGAAACAGCAAUCCAAUGAAACAAAACUAUAUUUGAUUUUUAAUAUAUGAUAUGUUUAGCGAAUUAUUCUCUCAAAAAUGCUGUUUUUCAUGAAAUUUGUUUAAUAUUUAAGCGUUCAAGUAUUGUUCCCUACUGAGCUUACGAUGUAGUUGUUCGGGUAUCAUCGUUGGAUCAAUUGGGAUGUUUGUAAUUGUAAAAUCACAAGUAUUUGGUUUCGCCGACAAUCGGUUUUAUCUGUAAUUCUCUGUUCUUAAAGCAAAAAUGUGUCACUUCAAUAAAAAAGUGGCAACUAAGAAAGUAUUAGAAAAGUAUGUAAAAUGAAGGUAAAAGUGGAAUUAAACGACAAAAUCAAUGGCAAGGUACAGCAUGC